RNAcentral lists this transfer RNA (77 nucleotides) under bacterium. RNAcentral's name for it is "tRNA-Pro". It matches the Rfam family "tRNA". Rfam says of the family: Transfer RNA (tRNA) molecules are approximately 80 nucleotides in length. The record is from RNAcentral.
CGGGCUGUGGCGCAGUUGGCUAGCGCGCCUGCUUUGGGAGCAGGAGGCCGUGAGUUCAAGUCUCACCAGCCCGACCA